RNAcentral lists this ribosomal RNA (500 nucleotides) under uncultured bacterium. RNAcentral describes it as "partial 16S ribosomal RNA". It matches the Rfam family "Bacterial small subunit ribosomal RNA", at positions 30 to 523 of the family's 1533-position model. The record is from RNAcentral.
AUUGAACGCUGGCGGAAUGCUUUACACAUGCAAGUCGAACGGCAGCACGGACUUCGGUCUGGUGGCGAGUGGCGAACGGGUGAGUAAUGUAUUGGAACGUGCCCAGUCGUGGGUGAUAACGUAGUGAAGAUUACGCUAAUACCGCAUACGAUCUAUGGAUGAAAGCGGGGGAUCGCAAGACCUCGCGCGAUUGGAGCGGCCGAUAUCGGAUUAGGUAGUUGGUGGGGUAAAGGCCCACCAAGCCAACGAUCUGUAGCUGGUCUGAGAGGACGACCAGCCACACUGGAACUGAGGCACGGUCCAGACUCCUACGGGAGGCAGCAGUGGGGAAUUUUGGACAAUGGGCGAAAGCCUGAUCCAGCCAUUCCGCGUGCAGGAUGAAGGCCCUCGGGUUGUAAACUGCUUUUGUACAGAACGAAAAGGUUUCUACUAAUACUAGGAGCUCAUGACGGUACUGUAAGAAUAAGCACCGGCUAACUACGUGCCAGCCGCCGCCGUAA